GAGAGACUGCCGUCGUAAGAUGUGAGGAAGGUGGGGAUGACGUCAAAUCAGCACGGCCCUUACGUCCGGGGCUACACACGUGUUACAAUGGGGGGUACAGAAGGCAGCUACCUGGUGACAGGAUGCUAAUCCCAAAAGCCUCUCUCAGUUCGGAUCGAAGUCUGCAACCCGACUUCGUGAAGCUGGAUUCGCUAGUAAUCGCGCAUCAGCCACGGCGCGGUGAAUACGUUCCCGGGCCUUGUACACACCGCCCGUCAAGCCAUGGGAGCCGGGGGUACCUGAAGUACGUAACCGCAAGGAGCGUCCUAGGGUAAAACUGGUGACUGGGGCUAAGUCGUAACAAGGUAGCCGUACCGGAAGGUGCGGCUGGAACACCUCCUUU
RNAcentral lists this ribosomal RNA (382 nucleotides) under Bacteroides fragilis. Its description in RNAcentral is "bacterial SSU rRNA". It matches the Rfam family "Bacterial small subunit ribosomal RNA", at positions 1143 to 1533 of the family's 1533-position model. Lineage: Bacteria; Pseudomonadati; Bacteroidota; Bacteroidia; Bacteroidales; Bacteroidaceae. The record is from RNAcentral.